This 424-nucleotide ribosomal RNA is filed under the name uncultured bacterium. RNAcentral's name for it is "partial 16S ribosomal RNA". It matches the Rfam family "Bacterial small subunit ribosomal RNA", at positions 360 to 776 of the family's 1533-position model. The record is from RNAcentral.
AAUUUUGGACAAUGGGAGAAACCCUGAUCCAGCCAGCGCGCGUGUAUGAUUAAGGCCUUCGGGUUGGAAAGUACUUUUGGCAGAGAAGAAAAGGUAUCCCCUAAUACGGGAUACUGCUGACGGUAUCUGCAGAAUAAGCACCGGCUAACUACGUGCCAGUAGCCGCGGUAAUACGUAGGGUGCAAGCGUUAAACGGAAUUACUGGGCGUAAAGCGUGUAUAGGCGGUUCGGAAAGAAAGAUGUGAAACCCCAGGGCUCAACCUCGGAACUGCAUUUUUAACUGCCGAGCUAGAGUAUGUCAGAGGGGGGUAGAAUUCCACGUGUAGCAGUGAAAUGCGUAGAUAUGUGCAGGAAUACCGAUGGCGAAGGCAGCCCCCUGGGAUAAUACUAACGCUCAGACACGAAAGCGUGGGGAGCAAACAGG